CCUACGGGGUGCAGCAGUGGGGAAUAUUGCGCAAUGGGCGAAAGCCUGACGCAGCGACGCCGCGUGAGGGAUGAAGGUCUUCGGAUCGUAAACCUCUUUCAGCAGGGAAGAACGGUCACUGUGCUAAUCAGCAGUGAAUUGACGGUACCUGCAAAGCAAGCACCGGCUAACUCCGUGCCAGCAGCCGCGGUAAUACGGAGGGUGCGAGCGUUAAUCGGAAUUACUGGGCGUAAAGCGCUCGUAGGCGGUAUGGCAAGUCAAGGGUGAAAUCCCCGCGCUCAACGUGGGAACUGCCUUUGAAACUGGCAAACUGGAGUGUGUGAGAGGAUAGUGGAAUUCCAGGUGUAGGAGUGAAAUGCGUAGAUAUCUGGAGGAACAUCAGUGGCGAAGGCGACUAUCUGGCACAUAACUGACGCUGAGGAGCGAAAGCGUGGGUAGCAAACAGGAUUAGAUACCCUUGUAGUC
Molecule: ribosomal RNA, 465 nt
Filed under: uncultured bacterium
Lineage: Bacteria
Description: partial 16S ribosomal RNA
Rfam family: Bacterial small subunit ribosomal RNA
Source: RNAcentral